This 509-nucleotide ribosomal RNA is filed under the name uncultured Variovorax sp. RNAcentral's name for it is "bacterial SSU rRNA". It matches the Rfam family "Bacterial small subunit ribosomal RNA", at positions 36 to 507 of the family's 1533-position model. The record is from RNAcentral. Lineage: Bacteria; Pseudomonadati; Pseudomonadota; Betaproteobacteria; Burkholderiales; Comamonadaceae.
UUGGCGUCAGGAAUUGUAAACGGCCUGGCGGGGCACUGCCUUUACACCAUAGGCAAAGGUCGAAACGGGCAGGCACGGGAGCAAUCCUGGUGGCGAGUGGCGAACGGGUGAGUAAUACAUCGGAACGUGCCAAUCUGGGGGAUAACGCAGCGAAAGCUGUGCUAAUACGCAUACGAUCUACGGAUGAAAGCAGGGGACCGCAAGGCCUUGCGCGAAUGGAGCGGCCGAUGGCAGAUUAGGUAGUUGGUGAGGUAAAGGCUCACCAAGCCUUCGAUCUGUAGCUGGUCUGAGAGGACGACCAGCCACACUGGGACUGAGACACGGCCCAGACUCCUACGGGAGGCAGCAGUGGGGAAUUUUGGACAAUGGGCGAAAGCCUGAUCCAGCAAUGCCGCGUGCAGGAUGAAGGCCUUCGGGUUGUAAACUGCUUUUGUACGGAACGAAACGGUUCUUUCUAAUAAGGAGAGCUAAUGACGGUACCGUAAGAAUAAGCACCGGCUAACUACGUG